Molecule: ribosomal RNA, 497 nt
Filed under: uncultured bacterium
Lineage: Bacteria
Description: partial 16S ribosomal RNA
Rfam family: Bacterial small subunit ribosomal RNA
Source: RNAcentral
GAUGAACGCUGGCGGCGUGCCUAAUACAUGCAAGUCGAGCGAACAGAUGAGGAGCUUGCUCCUCUGACGUUUGCGGCGCACGGGUGAGUAACACGUGGAUACCCUACCUAUAAGACUGGGAUAACUUCGGGAAACCGGAUCUAAUACCGUAUAAUAUAUUGAACCGUAUUGUUCAAUAGUGAAAGACGGUUUUGCUGUCACUUCUAGAUGGAUCCCCGCCGCAUUAGCUAGUUGGUAGGCUAACGGCUUACCAAGGCAACGAUGCGUAGCCGACCUGACAGGGUGAUAGGCCACACGGGAACUGAGACACGGUCCAGACGACUAAGGGAGGGAGCAGUAGGGAAUGUGCCGCAAUGGGCGAGAGCCUGACGGAGCAGCGCCGAGUGAGAGAUGAAAGUCUUCGGAUAGUAAAACCGUGUUAUUAGGGAAGAACAAAUGUGUAAGUAAAUAUGCACGUAGUGACGGUACCUAAACAGAAAGCCACGGCUAACUACGUG